UGAUGUGUUUUAUGGAAAGUUGGUUCUUAGAAGUGAUCUUUAGGGAUCGAUGAAUAUUCUUAGUGUUAUUAGGAUAUGGCAUGCUAGAGUGUGUGAAUUGAUGGUAAAGUAGAAUGGAAAUAUUUAUGCGGAAACAUAGGAAUUGAUCAAAAAUGAAUGGCAUGUAAAACGAAAAAAGUUAAGGAAAUUGGUAAAAUAAGGUUUAAAUAAGGAAAUUACGGGACUAAAGAAAUGAACAUAAUUAACGAAAUUAUGAUUUGGCUAUGGGCCGCAAAAAGAUAUAUGGUUUGUAUUUGGCUUCGGACCGUAUGUUGGCUUUGGCCGUGAUGGACCUUCGGGGUUGAGUGGCGUCAGGCCGUAUGAGUGAGCGACAAGUCGAGUGGCUUUGGGCUGUAUGUGAUGGAUACGGGCCAAGAAUUGGCUACGGGCCAUGUCUGAUUGGCAAUUGGGCUGAGAAUUGGCUACGGGCCGUGUAUGAUUGGCUUUGGAACGUAAGUGACCUUCAUAGUCGAGAACGAGUAUAGUGGUUAAGUGAAUGGAAGUCCCUAAAAUGUAUAAGUAAAGAUAAAUUGCUAGUUCAACAAAAAUGGUUAAUAGGAUGAAAUGGAAUAUUAGGUUGCUGGAACGGAAUGGUAUAUUAGGCUGUGAGAAUGGAAUGGAAUGUUAGGUUGCUAGAACGGAAUUCAUUGUGAAUGUUAGAUAAGUUACGGGUUACAUGUGGGCGGUUUUGAGCAUCCUCACUGAGUAUUUUGUAUCCUCAUGCCUCCUUUUUUUUUUUAUGCAGGUAAGGUUUGAUUGUGUGCGUCAGAGCGCGAGUGUAGAAAGACCAUUGGGAAAUAGUGUUUGAACUUGGAUAAUGUUUUGGGAAUUCUUGUCAGACGGUCUCAUUGUAUUGUUACAAAUUUUAAG
Molecule: long non-coding RNA, 909 nt
Filed under: Brassica napus (rape)
Lineage: Eukaryota; Viridiplantae; Streptophyta; Magnoliopsida; Brassicales; Brassicaceae
Description: long non-coding RNA (BNAP_LNC015712)
Source: RNAcentral